Molecule: long non-coding RNA, 5099 nt
Organism: Zonotrichia leucophrys gambelii
Lineage: Eukaryota; Metazoa; Chordata; Aves; Passeriformes; Passerellidae
Exons: 4
Source: RefSeq, a predicted model, not a curated record
AAUGGCUUGUCGGGCACAGCUCCAGCCGCCCAGGGAGCCCCCGAGCCAGCAGGGCAGGUGUUUGGGGCUCUUGGUCUGCCUAAACUCUAUUUAGGCUGUAGAGGAGGUGAUCUUGUUAGUGUGGUUGUUCACCUGAGGCAGAGGAUGGCCGGCCCUUGGCUGGAAAGGUCGGAGAAUCUGUCUCUUGGCUGUGUCAUGGGGUUAUGCUGUUCUCUCUUUCUGUAUUGUUCCACUUGGGACAGCUGCCACAGAAGUUCCUGACAGGCAAAAAUGUGCUUUUGUACAACCUUGUCAUGCUUUGCCCAACCCAAGAAAGAAUAAUGCAAAGAAGCUUUAGGUUUAAGUGCUGUUUGAAUUGAAACACGUUGGUACUGCCUCUGGUUUCUUUGCCAUGGCAUAGGAGAGCCUCCCUUGUGAGUCAUGGAAUCACAGAUUCCCAGACUGGUUUGAGCUGGAAGGGACUUUAAAGACCAUCCAGUUCCACCCCCUGCCGUGGAACGUCUUCCAUUAGACCAGACAAGGAAAGGAGUUCAGCUUGCAGCUUUUCUGAAACUCUUUCGCCUCCUGUGCUUGCCAUGUUGCUUCCCUUCACCCUCUUCCAGAGCCAGGGCUUCUCAGGAGGAUUGUCCUCUCCAUCCCUCCCUGACAAGCACAGGCUCUGGAGGUAAAUCCCAGUGACCUGUCCCAGGUGAGAUGGUGCCAGUGGCCUCCCCAGCUCCUUCUCCAGGGCAGGACGAGCGUUUCAUGUGGCAACAGAGCAAAUCUUACUCUUUGCUGAAGGACUUGGCCUCCAGCCAGGCUUUGACUUCUUCAGUGCUGGAUUCAAAGCAGCUCGUCGUUCAGCUCAUCCAUUUGGUGAAUAAGUUCUGCAGAAACAGGUAGGGAAUGAGAUCAAAUCUUCAGUCAAAAAUCCCAUUAAAUGUGUUGGUGGGGAAAUUGUAAGGAAAAUGGGGGUGUGGCUCAGCAUUUUUAUUAAGUCUGUAAAUACAGCCUAGGAAAGGGCUUACUUUUGUAUUUUAGUCUGAAAAACAAGCUUAGGUGCUCUGUUGGAGCAAUAGGGUGAGUGAUGAGGUUUGGACCUUCAGAAUACCAUCAGGAACAAGUGUGUACAGGGAGAUCUCUGUGGUUUUGGAGGCUGGAGGGCCCUAGAGGGGAGUGGGGGAUCUCCCCUUUCCCCCCAAGUCAAGAGUCUCCCUUCAGCUUUUGAAACCUCACUUUCUCUUUGGGAGAAAUUGUGAUUUCUGCAGUUCUGCAGGAUAAAGGAGAGGACAGAUCACAGAAUCCCAGCUGAGGGAUCUAAAAAGCUGCUUUAUGGUUUCUUUCAGUGUGACUGGGGAGAGAACUUCACUUUCACUUGUUUUGUGAACAAAUUUACAGUGGGACCAGUUGUUUCUCACAUUUCUAACUCAUGCUGUUCCUCCUGCUCCAUUCAAAGGACAGAAAACCCCUCAACACCCACCAGCUCCUGCUCCAGGUGUGCUCAGGGGUGUAAAGUGAUCUGGCAGAGUCUUUGCUCCCAGUGCUGCUCUCAAGGGGUGACAAGGGACAGGGUCCCAUUCCCUGAGGGCUGGGGUUGGGGUUCUGCUUCAGCUUGUCAUCUUCCUGGGUUUGAGUUAUUUAGUUCCCUUUGGGCUGGUGAAAUAAGGGAACUGCCCUGCAAACUUCACAGCAAGAGGGGAAACUCCCAGCCCCCGUGAGGCAGCAGAGGCUGGGGGAUGGACUCUGUGUUUCCCAGAACCGUGUUCCCCUUUUCCUGAGCCCCUGUGCUGCCAUUUAUUUCCCUCCCAUCACCCCUGGGCUGUUGCCUGGUGUGGAAGGACAGAUGUGUGAGGAUCUACAAUUGCAGAGUUGGGAUUGAGACCUUUUCUCCUCUCUGCUACUUCUAGUCAGUGAUUUGCUGAUCCCAGAGCCCCAGGUUUUGCUCCACAGCGGAAAAGAAGCAGCAGGAAGCACAAACUGGGAGUGAGGAACACACUCAUGAUGGGAUGAGCUUGAAGGUCCCUGUGACUCUGGGAAAACUCCAGUGACACUUCAUCCAGUGUCACUUUCCCCAUGAAACUCCUGAGGACUGCAGAGAAUAACUGGGUGUUAUGAACAGACUGGAGUCCAGCAGGGGAUGAGCAGGGCAGGACAGGGAGCUGUUGUUGUCCUUCCCUCACCGUGGUUGGGAUGGGACCGAUGUGUCUGAGCUGAGGAGGGGACACAGCCCAGCACAGGCAGCCUGUGCCAGCUUGGGUUGGAGCACAGCUGUGUCACUGUCACACACCACCAGGGGAAAUGGAAUUGGUGCUGGCUGCCCUCCUGAGCUCUGUGUCACUGUCACACACCACCAGGGACAAGGAGUUGGCUGCCAUGCUGAACUCUGUGCUGCCCCUGGAAGGGGAGGGGACACACCUUUUCCAGGAGUGCUCACGUACCUCCAGGAUUUCAUCCUUCAGCACCGACAGCUCGUUGACGUUUCGUGCAGUGAAAUCGUAGCGGAUUUUGGCAAAUCUCCUGGGCACAGCCACUCCCUGGGCCUCAAAAUUCGUGCAGGAGAGGAAAACUGGAGUUUUAGUGGAGGCCCACCUGAUGAUGGAACCAAAUGUGAGUUCACUGGUGGAACAGGAGUGAUGGUGGCUGGGAGUUUGCAUUUGAAGGGGCAGAGUCCCUCUGCUCCUCUUUUGAGGAAGAUUUUCAGCCCUUGUUUCAGUGGAAUCCCUUGGGGCUGGGAACAAGCAAGCAAACCAACGCUGCUGGGGUUUGGUGUGGGGCCUUCCUGGGGGCUGUGAGGCAGCUCCUGGAAGGGUGGAAGGAAUUGCUGCUUUAGGGCCGCAGGGGCUGACACAGCAGGACCCAAAGGCUCUGAUUGCAGGUCCAGGGAAAGAUGAGGUGUGAAACCCUCCCUGUCCUGCCCAGUGGAAACAGCAGGGAGCAGCUGGGGGAAGAGGAAUUGAAAAUCCAAGCGGCAGAACCCACUGGAAAUCUGUGGGGUUUUUAAUCAGGCUGAAUUCUGCAAGUUCCCAGGAAAAGUGAGUUUGGAUGUUUCUAUGCUAAGAUGUAUUUGGGCACAGGGGAAGAGAAAUGCAUUUAUGUGUUAGCUUGGGACACCAGAAUAUACGGUUUUCAAAGCUGAAUUGGCUUUUUGUUUGAAGAGAGACAAAAUGAAUAUGGUAGACCAUUGAAAAUGGUGAAAAAGUGGAAUGAAAGGUUCUUUUUUACCCAAACUGAAAAGUUUUGCUUUGUUUUGUUUUGUUUUGUGUUGCCUGGCUUAGGGAAUUUAGCAGAUCUCAUCUUUUUCUUCUCCAGCUGAGUGAAGUGCUAUCUGUUUAAUUAAAAAUCCAUUUGCUAUAUGGAAAAACAGUCUUGCCUUGUGAAAGGACAGGUAAGAAUAAUUUUAAUGCACUUCCCAGGGAUCUUUUUGCUUAUGAAAUGUAACCUGCACAGAUACCUGAUGCCAUAUUCACUGGGGCUCAGGGUCUCCUUCAGCUGUUGUAACUCAGGGCAAUCAGUGCUUCCAGCACUGCCAGCAGCUCUGCUUUUCCCUUUCUGACCUACUGGCUUUGGCCAGUGGUUUGAAAUCCAUGUACUGGGGAAGCUCAGUUCUUUGUGCACUGUGAAACCUGGCAAUGGAAAUUGAGCCCAUUGUGCUUAGUUUAAAUUAAUUUUCCUGCCCUCAUGAGCCGUGUUAGGUGGUCAGAAGGAGGCUGUAACCACUAAUUUAGUGCUGGAUACCACAACAGUGGUUGCAGGGUUGUCUUUAGCUCACGUGCUUUGGGACAGCUCCUGGUCUGGUUAUACCCCUGUGGAACAUUUCAGUUGUAAUUCCACAGUGGGGAGAGCUUGGAGGAGUCAAAUGAAUCCAGCAGGCCAGGGAGGGAGAGCUGCCUUUGCCCAGCAGUGCCCUGAGGGCCAGGAGGAGAAGGGAAUCGCAGUUAGGUUGGAAUUCCUUCUUCUGUGGCAUUUCAGAAGGUAACUGAGUCAGGAGGGAGGAGUUUGGGGCUGGUGUGUGCUUUGUGUGCACCUGGGCUGUGCAAGGGGACCUGUGCUGAAGGUUGUGCUGCUGCUGGGGCUCCCAGGGCCCUUCUCUGCAGCCAGGAGCCGAGCUGUAAAUAACUGCAGUACUGAGGGGCGGCUCUUUGUGCUCAUCUGGGGUCUCCUGGCUGGAAAUUUGGUCAGACUGCUCUGAAAAGAGCAAGAGCACAGCAGGAAAAAUGUCUGUACCAGGGCUGUCAUCCUGGCAGAUUAACAAUUCACUUGCAGUUUUGUUUUUUUUUCUGAUGUGUUAUCCAUAAGGAAAAAUUGCUGUUGAGGGUGUGAAAGGUCCUCUCCUCUCCCCUCCCCUCCCCUCCCACCUUGGUAGAAGGCACCUGAUCAUUUCUGUUCCCAGAUUCCAUCCUGCUGUUCAUGGUUUGCCUGUGCUGAGACAGGUGGAAAUGUUUCCCCACAUGUGUUGUCUGUCAGUCGUUAAAAAGACUCCAAUAUUCUUGUGUAAACUAAAUUCCUUAUUUUUCCCAACCUCACCAAGAGAUCUGGAAUUGGAAAAGAGAAAUGAUCCUCAUUCUUUCCCUGCUCCACACUGCACCUGGACCACUUGAUGUUCCUACCAGGGCUUGGGGCAGCAGAAUCUUGGUGGCCACAGUUGGGAACUCAGUGAAUUGGAGCAAAGCUGAAGAGUUUGUCCACUAAGAGAAGCGGUGAAUUAUAAACCAACGCAGAGUGAUAUUCCACACCAGGGAUUUGGGAUUGGUGAUGGUCCCAAUCCAUCAUCUUUCUGUUCAUUUUCUUUUGGAUUCUGCAGCCUGCUGGGCUGGGGGAGCUGUUCCUUUGCAUUUAAUUUUCUGUAUUCUGUAAAUCCUCUGUGGAAAUGUGCUUUUAAUAAAAAGGCUCUUGAUGAUGUCCCAGGUUCCUGGGAUUCACAGGUGUGUGUUCAGACCAAGGAAUGUUCUGGCUGGCAGAAGCUGCACCAAUCUCCCAGGAAUCUCAGUCUGGGUUUGUCUUUGCUCCCAGUGCUCCUCAGUUUGGGGUGCAGUGCAGCCCUGCUCUGUGGAUCUCCUAGAAGAGUUUUUUCCUAUUCUGCAAUGUUUCUCUAGAAUUCAAUAAAAAAGAAUAAAACUGUA